CCUACGGGAGGCAGCAGUGGGGAAUAUUGCGCAAUGGGCGAAAGCCUGACGCAGCGACGCCGCGUGGGGGAUGAAGGUCUUCGGAUCGUAAACCUCUGUCAGCAGGGAAGAACGGUAACUGUGCUAAUCAGCAGUGAAUUGACGGUACCUGCAAAGGAAACACAGGCUAACUCCGUGCCAGCAGCCGCGGUAAUAAGGAGGGGGCGAGCGUUUAUCGGAAUUACUGGGCGUAAAGGGCUCGUAGGCAGUAGGUCAAGUCAAGGGUGAAAUCCCCGCGCUCAACGUGGUAACUGCCUUUGAAACUGGCAAACUGGAGUGUGUGAGAGGAUAGUGUAAUUCCAGGUGUAGGAGUGAAAUCCGUAGAUAUCUGGAGGAACAUCAGUGGCGAAGGCGACUAUCUGGCACAUAACUGACGCUGAGGAGCGAAAGCGUGGGUAGCAAACAGGAUUAGAUACCCGGGUAGUC
RNAcentral lists this ribosomal RNA (465 nucleotides) under uncultured bacterium. Its description in RNAcentral is "partial 16S ribosomal RNA". It matches the Rfam family "Bacterial small subunit ribosomal RNA", at positions 338 to 795 of the family's 1533-position model. The record is from RNAcentral.